CUUUUGGGUCCUAUAAUUGGAAUGAGUACAAUUUAAAUCCGUUAACGAGGAACAAUUGGAGGGCAAGUCUGGUGCCAGCAGCCGCGGUAAUUCCAGCUCCAAUAGCGUAUAUUAAAGUUGUUGCAGUUAAAAAGUUCGUAGUUGAACUUUAGACCUGACCGGGCGGUCCGCCUAAUGGUGUGUACUGUCUGGCCGGGCCUUACUUCUUGGUGAGCCGGCAUGCCCUUCAUUGGGUGUGUCGGGGAACCAGGACCUUUACCUUGAGAAAAUUAGAGUGUUUAAAGUAGGCUUAUGCCGGAAUACAUUAGCAUGGAAUAAUAAAAUAGGACGUGCGGUUCUAUUUUGUUGGUUUCUAGAGUCGCCGUAAUGAUUAAUAGGGAUAGUUGGGGGCAUUUGUAUUGCGUUGUUAGAGGUGAAAUUCUUGGAUUUACGCAAGACAAACUAUUGCGAAAGCAUUUGCCAAGGAUGUUUUCAUUAAUCAAGAACGAAGGUUAGGGGAUUGAAAACGAUUAGAUACCGUUGUAGUCUUAAUAGUAAACUAUGCCGACUAGGGAUCGGACGACCUUAAUAUUAUGCGUCGUUCGGCACCUUACGAGAAAUCAAAGUCUUUGGGUUUUGGGGGGAGUAUGGUCGCAAGGUUGAAAUUUAAAGGAAUUGACGGAAGGGCACCACCAGGAGUGGAGCCUGCGGCUUAAUUUGAUUUAACAUGGGGAAACUCACCAGGUCCAGAUAUAAUUAGGAUUGAUAGAUUGAUAGUUCUUUCUUGAUUUUAUGGGUGGUGGUGCAUGGCCGUUUUUAGUUGGUGGAGUGAUUUGUCUGGUUAAUUCCGAUAACGAACGAGACCUUAACCUGCUAAAUAGCCUGGCCGGCUUUUGCUGGUCACUGGCUUCUUAGAGGGAUUGUCAGCGUUUAGCUGACGGAAGUUUGAGGUAAUAACAGGUCUGUGAUGUCCUUAGAUGUUCUGGGCCGCACGCGCGCUACACUGACAGAGCCAGCGAGUUUUUUUUCCUUGGCCGGAAGGUCAUGGGUAAUCUUGUGAAACUCUGUCGUGCUGGGGAUAGAGCAUUGUAAUUAUUGCUCUUCAACGAGGAAUUUCUAGUAAGCGUGAGUUAUCAGCUCGCGUUGAUUACGUCCCUGCCCUUUGUACACACCGCCCGUCGCUACUACCGAUUGAAUGGCUUAGUGAGACCUCCGGAUUGGCUUUGGGGAGUCGGCAACGACACCCCGUUGCUGAAAAGUUGGUCAAACUUGGUCAUUUAGAGGAAGUAAAAGUCGUAACAAGGUUUUCCGUAGGUGAACCUGCGGAAG
RNAcentral lists this ribosomal RNA (1308 nucleotides) under metagenome. RNAcentral's name for it is "SSU rRNA". It matches the Rfam family "Eukaryotic small subunit ribosomal RNA", at positions 493 to 1823 of the family's 1831-position model. The record is from RNAcentral.